Teleopsis dalmanni is the source of this 1540-nucleotide long non-coding RNA. RefSeq lists it as uncharacterized. The transcript is spliced from 3 exons. The record is from RefSeq and is a predicted model, not a curated record. Lineage: Eukaryota; Metazoa; Arthropoda; Insecta; Diptera; Diopsidae.
UGUUACUGAACGUAGCGUGAAUACAAAAACAUUUUACUUUUGUUUUAUGAACACAUCUCUUGUUAACGCCGCUGUAAAUUAUUGUUGAUAGUCUGUAUAAUAUUGUGUUUUGAUAUUGCAUUGUGAUUUUGAAGUGUUUAAAGUUCAAAAAUUGGUGCGCAUAAAGAAUUAAAUAAUAUUUAUUAAUAAAAAUUUAAAAGUACUGAAAAACAAAACACAAUGCGCUUCCAUCUUUCAAUGGACUAUUGACCAUACAUAUCACGCCGGAGUUCAGAACAUUCACUCACGAAAUUUUAUUCUUUUGAUAAUGUAAAUUAAUUCAUUUAUAAAUAGAAUUAUGGCAUAAAAAGUACCUCAAAACAUCUGUACCCAGUAAAAUCAAUGCAUACCAAAUGAAUGUAAACUCGAAAGGAAUCUCAUUUUUAAAAACGUAAUUAGCGUGAGUGGAGCAGACCGGUGUAGCUGACAAUACAUUUCAACAGAUUGACAUAAAACUAAACUGGUCUAUUUAAGAAGCAUAAACCACCUGUAUUUUUAUUGAAACAGCAUUAGUAAGCAGUAAACAUCGAAAAUGAAUAGGUACUUUUUGAGUCCUGUUAUAUGAAAAAACUGUCAAAACACCGAGCUGGAGGAAAAUAAUGCAGUGGUGACCUACGCGAUAACUGCUUGUGUAAAAACUUUUUGUUACAAAAACUCAGUCAGUUACCACGCAAUAUAAUACUUCAAUGAGAAUCUGUCAAAACUGAUGACAUUGUGCCACAAACAAAAGCAAAUAUUUGUACACUAAUCUCCCAGCUAUGGUAGAUAAAUUAAAUGAUAAAGUGUUGGUUGAAGAAGUAAAUUUCAAAUAACAAUGCUAUAUUAGAAUUAGUAUCUAAUCAUCAAACUGUUUCUAUACCAUCACAUGAAAAUCAUUAAAAUUGUUGGUGUUACAUGGAAAGCUACAAAAGAUUUUUGAUCCUAACAAAGUGUACACUACGAGAAGUUACUGAAUUUUGCGUAAUGAUUACGAUCGCUUCAAAGCAAAAUACAAUAUAAAAUUUCCAUCUAGCCCAAGUGCAAAGCAACAAUUUUGUAAUAAGAAAAUAAGCUAUAGCUAAGCUCAGAUAGAACUAAGAUUUCUUUUGCAAGUGAUAGUGACUGCAUACAACGAGAACAAGUAUAUAACAGAGUAUACUCUGUGCCAGCUAUAACAAUUUAUCCGUUUUGUGUAUUACAAACCUUAUCGAUAUCUAAUUUUACCAUUAUAUGCUUUUAUAGUAAUAAUAGAUAUGUUUUAUAAAGUAUAAAGUAACAUAGUCAUAUCCCUGACUAAUUAUCUUAAAUAUAUAAUGUACUGCAUACACUUCCACACCUCUAAUUUAAUGUAAACAUAAAAUCACUUCGAAUCAACGCUUCUAUUUUAUAUAUUAACAUAAUCUCAAUUUAAAGCAACAUUGUCUUUUAUAGUAAUGUUUACAUGCAAAACUGGAAGUGAUGUUUAAUCUUAGACAUAAGUUAUUAUUUUCAUCAUAUACAUUCCAUAAAGACGAAUCAAACG